Molecule: transfer RNA, 16 nt
Filed under: Odontaspis ferox (smalltooth sand tiger)
Lineage: Eukaryota; Metazoa; Chordata; Chondrichthyes; Lamniformes; Odontaspididae
Description: partial tRNA-Phe
Source: RNAcentral
AAAUUUUCCACAAGCA